UGAUAUGGUUUGGCUGUGUCCCCACCCAAAUACCAACUUGAAUUGUAUCUCCCAGAAUUCCCAUAUGUUGUGGGAGGGUCCCAGGGGGAGGUAAUUGAAUCAUGGGGGCAUCUUUCCUGUGCUAUUCCUAUAAUAGUGAAUGAGUCUCAUGAGAUCUGAUGGGUUUAUCAGCGGUUUCCACUUUUGCUUCUUCCUCAUUUUCUCUUGCCACCACCACGUAAGAUGUGCCUUUCACCUCCCGCCAUGAUUCUGAGGCCUGCCCAGCCAUGUGGAACGAUACACCGAGUUUUCCUGUGUGUUCAGGUGUUUGUUCCGAGGGUGCGUUAGUGGACGAAUUCCUCCACCUGUGCAUCUGGAGACCUGGGGAUGUCUAUGCUCUUUGCCCCCUGCCAGGGUUGAGCAUGUGAUCAUAUCUCCAGCGGACGACACCAAAAGAAUGUCUGUGACCUCGUCCCCUGGCGACCACGUCUACAGUGACUGAGUGCUGCCGUGGCUGGAAAGCCAGGGUCUGCAUCUCCCAGGACCUCAGGACCUGUGAUGAGGUGUUGUGGGGCCAAGAAGAGGAGGGGGUCCAUGGUGGGCUCUGCCGCAGGUGACCCUGCGCACUGUCCUAGCACCUGUGCCUAAGGAGAUGCCCUCUAUGGUACCAAGCAUCUCCCAAAAUGUGAUUUGCUCUUCCUGUGAUAGAAUGGAGUGGGCUGAGGGGGCGAUGGGUGCUGGAAAGCCACAAGGCUGCCAUUGAUCUGCCAGAGAAGGCACCUGCUCACCUGGCAGGAUGCUCACCUGGCAGGAUGUUCACCUGGCAGGAUGCUCACCUGGCAGGAAUAGCAAAUUUGCUAGAAAAAUGCAGGUUCCCCUGUUCUGGGUGAUCUGUGACUUCUGCCACACAGGGGAUCCAGAGUGCGAGGAUAUCCAGAGAGCUGGAAUGAGGAUUUUGCUGAGCUGAGGGCUAAGCUUGAAGCAGAAGAAACCACAGUAAAAACACUGGUCAAUGUAUGCUCGGAUCUACUCAGCGACUUUCCAGAGAGCCGUGUGGCUUUACUAAUGACAGACAUCGUGGUGCAUUCCAGACCCCUGGGCUUGUUCAUCUGACGUCACUGCAACCUCCUGAUUCCACUCAAUAGGCCAAGACAAGCGGAAGCUCCGGUUCAGGGAGAACGUUCCCCAGGAAAUCAGGGCAGCAGAGUUUUCCAGGAACGGAGGCUGUGACGGUGGAGGGUGGCCAGGCAGCAGGAGGCCGGGGAAGCGGGUGUCCUGAAGCAGAGGCCGCGGCGCCACGUGUAUGGCAGCUUGCAGGAUAAAAGCCAAAGUGAUUGCUCCAAAUGGACAUCCAUGCCAGUCAUCUGUGUAAGGAUCGCUGAGUGUCUCACAAAAGCACGUGGGUAUGAAGGUGGGGUUGACAUUGAUGAUUAAACCAAGCAGUACAGAAGCAUCGGUGCUGGUCACUUAUCCCCGUCCUUCCCAUCAUUCGAGAUCCCCUUCCAGCGAAUGGCAUCUUCUGGUGUGUGCAGGACCCGAUGGAGGAGUGAUGAGACCUCAGAGCCAUGUCCAGGCUCUUCCAGUCAGUUGGUGGCCUCCACAAAUGCCAGCCAGCCCGCCCAAUGCAAGCUUCUGCUUGGCCAACGUGUAGCAGUUACGAUGCAGCAAUUGGAAGAGGCUGUGGGGAUCAGUAAUUCCAGUGGGGGAGCGACGGACACCCCUAAGAACCCAUUCCACGAUUUUAGUCCCAAAUUGGAUUUUGCUUGGAGAAAUUCUCUGCCCUGUAGUAGUGGUUUUUAAGAUCACAGAUAUUGGAGUAAGAAAGACAAGGCUCUUCUAUUUGCUGGUCUAUUGACUCACAGGGGAAUACCAGAGAACUUGGCAUCCAGAAAACAGUCAACAAAUGAAGACAGUGCAACUAAGACCUGGGCGCCAUGUUCCUUCCCUAAGGCUCAUUUCACUAGGAUGCUGUGUCAGCACGCGCACACACACACACACACACACUCACACACUCCAGGAAGCCUCUAAAAGAAAUGCAAGUGUUCUCCAGUAGAAGGAGCAUCGCUGAAAUUUACUCAACAGCACGGUCUUCGUGUCUUUCCCUCCCAGGCCCACACUCUCAGCUGCCUCCUCCCCUCUCGCUCCUUUCCUCCUGUGUUCUCCAGCAAGGGUGAGGACCCACUGUCAUUCAGAAAACCUCCUCCUAGUUUUUCUAUGCAGGGAGUCAUUCACACAUCCAGCAAGGAAAACAGGGGCUUGUGCAGACUCUCCUUGGGAGGUAAUGGGAGAGGGAUUCUAAAUGCUUGUCACAUUUUUACCUGACACUGUUACUACCAUGUAACUACUAAUAACUAAUGCCAACUUCUGAAUCAUAUUUCCUAUCAUCUUAUGAGAGAGAACUCUGUGGUGUAUAAACACCAAAUCACAAAUCUCCACUUUACAUUCUUGUUUGUCUACUUGUUUGUCUGUUUUCCACUGCAGUGCAGGAGCCCGUGGAGGAGACCCGGUUUCCAGCACCGAGGGGCUCAAGAAUCUCAGGUCACCUGUGAGAUGAGCUCUGAGCACUUGCCCACACUCCUGAGCAUGAACAUAAAGCCCCAUCACAUGCAGUGGCAGAUGGUUAAGACAACAACCAACCAUCUCGUCAGAUAAAAGCUUCGCUCCACUUAAAGUGGAUGAUUUUUAAAUUUGUUUGUAAAACCUUUGAUAUUUGACUACUAAGAAAUUAUAAGAUCCCUAUGGACAGGCAACUAAUUUUCUACAUUUCCUGGUUCUUUAAAAAUAAAUAAUUGUCAUA
Long non-coding RNA from Homo sapiens (human), 2776 nucleotides. The record is from Ensembl. Lineage: Eukaryota; Metazoa; Chordata; Mammalia; Primates; Hominidae.